CAAGAGCCGAUGCCUUGAGUGGAAGCCGUCACAAUUGCUACCUUGUCGUCAAAGGGUAAUAGGCAAACAAUAAAAUACAAAUUCAACAAAUCGGGAAAAAAGAAAACAGAAAAGGAAAACCUUACACCCGAUGCUAUAAUCUGGAGGUGGAGCAUGGAGCUGCAAGCUGAGAAAGGGUAGACUGAGAAUGGCGAGAGAGAAUCGGCGAGGGAUUUGAGGGAAAUUACAGAGUGAGAAAAGGGAGGGAUGCUAUAAUCUCGAGGUGGAGCAUGGAGCUGCAAGCUGAGAAAGGGUAGACUGAGAAUGGCGAGAGAGAAUCGGCGAGGGAUUUGAGGGAAAUUACAGAGUGAGAAAAGGGAGGGAUGGGGGAUUCGAUGGAUGGUUACACAGAGAGACUCGGGAGAGAAAAAGAGGG
Molecule: long non-coding RNA, 415 nt
Filed under: Malus domestica (apple)
Lineage: Eukaryota; Viridiplantae; Streptophyta; Magnoliopsida; Rosales; Rosaceae
Description: long non-coding RNA (MDOM_LNC006269)
Source: RNAcentral